RNAcentral lists this ribosomal RNA (213 nucleotides) under Triticum aestivum (bread wheat). RNAcentral's name for it is "partial small subunit ribosomal RNA". Lineage: Eukaryota; Viridiplantae; Streptophyta; Magnoliopsida; Poales; Poaceae. The record is from RNAcentral.
ACCCUGCAAUCAAAUAGAUUGUCCCAAGGGCGCCAUAUUCUAGGAGCCCAAGUUAUGCUAUUGAAAAUUCGUUCCUCUAGCAGUUCCGGUUUGAGCAUUCCGUUCCCUUUUUCAAACUCCACUUCUUUUCAUAUAGCAUCCCUGAUCAAAGAGAGAACAAUAUCCAUUUCAAAACAUUUCUAACAGAUUCCUUAGUUCGGACCGACGAAGUAA